This 353-nucleotide ribosomal RNA is filed under the name Escherichia coli. RNAcentral's name for it is "bacterial SSU rRNA". It matches the Rfam family "Bacterial small subunit ribosomal RNA", at positions 342 to 687 of the family's 1533-position model. Lineage: Bacteria; Pseudomonadati; Pseudomonadota; Gammaproteobacteria; Enterobacterales; Enterobacteriaceae. The record is from RNAcentral.
CGGGAGGCAGCAGUGGGGAAUAUUGCACAAUGGGCGCAAGCCUGAUGCAGCCAUGCCGCGUGUAUGAAGAAGGCCUUCGGGUUGUAAAGUACUUUCAGCGGGGAGGAAGGGAGUAAAGUUAAUACCUUUGCUCAUUGACGUUACCCGCAGAAGAAGCACCGGCUAACUCCGUGCCAGCAGCCGCGGUAAUACGGAGGGUGCAAGCGUUAAUCGGAAUUACUGGGCGUAAAGCGCACGCAGGCGGUUUGUUAAGUCAGAUGUGAAAUCCCCGGGCUCAACCUGGGAACUGCAUCUGAUACUGGCAAGCUUGAGUCUCGUAGAGGGGGGUAGAAUUCCAGGUGUAGCGGUGAAAU